GCAGGGGCGGCCUGGCCCGGCCACAGCCGCAUCACCGGGCUCUGGGGGUUUGGCCUCCCUUUGCCAGCAGAGGCUGUGACCUUCUCUGGGUGGGGUCUCCGUUCCCAACUGCUGAUGGGGACCUAGUAGCAGGUGACGGCAGAGGGCGGGAGCUGGGCGGGGUGGGGGCUGGGAAGCACGGAGAUGGGGCGGGCAUGCCCCUGGAGAGAACCCGGAGAGAGCCCUCUCAGGGCUGCAGGGGCUUGGAGGUCCCCACCCCCUCAGCCUCCAGCGUUGGCCCCUCUGGCUGGACCUUGAGGAAGGGCAGGGGUCCCAGGAUGAGGCUGCUCUGGCCGGCUGGGGCCGUCUUCUGGGUGCCUGAGAGUGGAUCUAAGCACAUCCUCGUUGCCCAGGGGCCCCAGCUGGGCUGGGAAUCGGGCUACAGGGCCAGCUCUGACCAGGGGAAGCCCAGUGCCCCCGGGGGGGCGGUGGCUGGAGAGGCUAGGCUGGCAGGGCACUAAGUGCCAAGAUGCCAGGCACUCGGCAAUCAGGAAUUUCUGUCUGGCCCUAGUUUGCGUUGCACUGACCUUGGCUCUCGAGUCUGGCUCCUAGGAUCAGGGAGGGCAGGGCUGGGGGCCGGAGACCUGAGCCUGUAGGGUCCACAGGGUUCCCCAUCCUGAUGGUCGUCAUCAAGUCGGGCUCCCUGCAGCCCCGAGCCCUGCCUGGGCCCCUGUCCCCAGGGCUGCCAAGCUCCACAGGUCUCACCGUGGGACUCUCAGGAGGUGGGCAAGGCGGGCACUCUUGCUGGGAGAAGGAAGUAGACCGAGGGAGGGGUGGUCCUGGGCAGAGGACCCAGGCCCAGAGAGGGCAGGGCACCUCCAGAGCCUGCACGUCGAUCUGGCCAGCAGGCUGGUGGGGGCACAGUGGGGAGGGGAACGUUCAGGGAGGGCUGCAGCUUCCGAGAAGCCUGGAAAGUUCAACGGAAGAGUCAAGGUAAGGCCAGGUGGGGGGCUGUGGGGAUGGACAGGGGUGGGCUGACUGGGGUGCUGACUGGGAAGGCAGGGGCCUGUGGGUGUGGCCGGAGCAGCUGGGGGCCUUGGUUGGCGGCCCUCCCGAGGGAGGCUGAAGGGCCAGGUGGGCGAGGAGGAGAAAUUGGGUUUGGCCAGGCUGGGCUUGACCCACCCGGAAGGCAGCCGGGGGAGGGUCCAGGAGGGGGGCGUCUGAGGCUCAGGGAUGGGGGGGGGG
Molecule: long non-coding RNA, 1224 nt
Filed under: Ovis aries (sheep)
Lineage: Eukaryota; Metazoa; Chordata; Mammalia; Artiodactyla; Bovidae
Description: lncRNA (ENSOARG00000026478.1)
Source: RNAcentral